UCCUACGGGGCGCAGCAGUGGGGAAUAUUGCACAAUGGGGGAAACCCUGAUGCAGCGACGCCGCGUGAGUGAAGAAGUAUUUCGGUACGUAAAGCUCUAUCAGCAGGGAAGAAAAAAAGUCCUUUGGACUUUGGACGGUACCUGACCAAGAAGCCCCGGCUAACUACGUGCCAGCAGCCGCGGUAAUACGUAGGGGGCAAGCGUUAUCCGGAUUUACUGGGUGUAAAGGGAGCGUAGACGGCGAUACAAGUCUGAAGUGAAAGCCCGGGGCUCAACCCCGGGACUGCUUUGGAAACUGUGUUGCU
Molecule: ribosomal RNA, 305 nt
Filed under: uncultured bacterium
Lineage: Bacteria
Description: bacterial SSU rRNA
Rfam family: Bacterial small subunit ribosomal RNA
Source: RNAcentral